UGAGCAAUCUGCCCCCGACUCUGGGAUAACCCCGGGAAACCGGAGCUAAUACCGGAUACGAACCACUCAGGCAUCUGAGAGGUUGGAAAGAUUUAUCGGUCAGGGAUGGACUCGCGGCUUAUCAGCUUGUUGGUGGGGUAACGGCUCACCAAGGCUUCGACGGGUAGCCGGCCUGAGAGGGCGACCGGCCACACUGGGACUGAGACACGGCCAGACUCCGUACGGGAGCA
RNAcentral lists this ribosomal RNA (230 nucleotides) under uncultured bacterium. RNAcentral describes it as "partial 16S ribosomal RNA". It matches the Rfam family "Bacterial small subunit ribosomal RNA", at positions 118 to 347 of the family's 1533-position model. The record is from RNAcentral.